This 5373-nucleotide long non-coding RNA is filed under the name Equus caballus (horse). RNAcentral describes it as "lncRNA (ENSECAG00000056195.1)". The record is from RNAcentral. Lineage: Eukaryota; Metazoa; Chordata; Mammalia; Perissodactyla; Equidae.
GGCAGAGGUUGCUCUUGUCUAAGGCUCAUGACGUCAGAGGCUUGACAUCUCAUGGUUCAAGGCUCAGGGUGUCAGGGACCAGCCUCUGUUGUUGCUAAAGUGGGGGGUUGGCACAGCCGUCGGAUUCGUCUUAGGAUCUGGUGGCGUGGGAGAAAAAGGCAUGAAGUUUGAUUUUAGGUACUCAAGGACAGGGAGAAUUUGUGGGGGCUAGAGCUUGGAGAGGCUUGUGGGGAGAGGGAGGAGGAAUGGGCCCUAGCUAACUCGAGCUUGGAACUCAAGGAGCAUGGGGCCAGUCAGGGUCUAGGGCCUGCUGGUUUUCAUUGGUCCGGGGAGAGGAGGGAGGGCCCUGACAGCUAAUUAGCAUCUUUUCUGUUUGACACCCCUUGCGUUCUCCUUUAAUCUUACUGCAGUCUCCCGUUUUAUCUCAGUGGGGGAGGAGGAAGAGGCCAGAAGAGCCUUUGGGUCUGCUUGCCUAGCGUUGGUCAGAGCUGGUGGAGAAAUGGGGAGGCUGUGCUGUACCUCCUGGAGGGUGCCUUAGGGCCCUGCAUUCCAGUUAGAGACUUUCAGUGAUGGAGUCCCUGCGUCUCCCUGAGCCUAGUGCUCAUGUUUAGUUACAGUGUUCUAAAAGGAGUCUUUUAAGACACCAAGUUCCAUGUUGUUCGACUUUUAGAAUUCUGCAUUUUGUUGUUCUACAUUCAGAACUACUGCUGUACGUUUGAAAUCAUCAAUCAUAGUCAUUCCUCCGUUGAUGAGAGAGGCUGGUGUCUUGGAAGGCUUUGGGCUGGAGGCCUGCGGCCUGUUGGCUGUGCAACCUUAAGCAAGUCACAUAACUGCAUUUUCCUUUUCUUAACGUGAGGAUAAGGAAACCAAACUUGGCAGAGUUUUUGUGAGGAAAGAAAGUGCCUGUCAUCUCAUCUGGCACAUGGGAGGCACUUUCUAAGUGGAAGCUAUUUUGUUGUUAGCACUUUAUGGUUUUCAAAGUAUUUUUUCCCACAUUAACUAAUCCUUACAAAACUCUUAGUUCUGGUAGGUAGAAACAAGGGGGAGUGGAGGAGGCAGGUUGACAUCAGCAGGUCCAUAGAAUGUUCCUGUAUAUUAGGCGCAUGAUCGCUUGUCUUCCUGGCCUGCUGGAAUGCCACCAGUUGCUAGGCUCUGGGGUUUUCUCACUACAGGGGGAUCUGCAGUCUUUAUCUAGUAGCAGCUUCCCUGCUUAAGAGAUAAGACACUACUCUGCAAUCUUCCAGCUGGAACUUUGCCACAGGGCCCCUGCAGAUUGCCAGCAUGGCGGUUAGUAAAAAGUUGUGUCUCUGGGUAAAGACCCGGAAGUGGAAUAGUUGGAUCAUAUGGAAUUUCUGUUGCCAUAUGACUUCACUUAUAUGUAGACGAUAAACAAACAAACAAACAGGGAGAGGAGAUUGGUAGUUACCAGAGGGGAAGUGGGGGAGGGCAGCAGGGGCACAGGUGUACGGUGAUGGAUGGCAACUAGACCUCUAGUGGUGAGCACCACCAAGGUGGCACGGUCUGUACAGAAGCUGAAAUAUAAUCAUGCGCACCUGAACCUCAUGUUAUAAACCCCUGUGACCUCAAUUAAAAAAACACUAUAAAAAAAGUUGCAAACAAGUUUUGAGGGUCUCUGGUUUAUGAAUUUCUGGCUCCUGUUCAAUGUAAGUGGAGGUGGGCUGUUCUGGAAUAUAGCUAAUCAGCUGAAAGUCGGAGCAGAAAUAAGAAUGUUUCCUCCCAGCACUUAUGUUUCCGUCUUCCAUCUUGUAUGUCUGGCUUCCCAGCCUAGGUUCUUAAGUGUUCAAACAACAGAACAGGACUUUAACCCUUCGAUUUCUUGACCAUUGAGUUUCAUCAGAUUGUUAUUCUGGUUAAUAAAUGCGUAUGUUUAUUGAACAUAACACACCUCUUUCAUUUCUUAGAAAAGUAAACAUUGGUGAGAUAUCGGCCUUCAGACUGGGCUGAUGUGGUGUAAGCAUGUUCCCCUGGUGGGGAUUAGCUUAGCCGGGCUAAGACUUUAAAACAUGAAGACUUGUUACCUCUUUGCUCCCUACCCCUUUAAGUUUACCAAGAGAGAUUGACAGGCUGGCUGCUGCUCGCUUUUGCCAGCCAGAGAUGUCUGCAGCUUCCCAGACUCCCAGUCAUUUCUAGUAACAGGAGAGGGGCUCCUGCACAAUUGGCUUUUCCUUUUUUCUCGGGCCAAAGAAGGCUGUGCUUUACAAAGGGCCUAAGCUGGAGGAAGACCUCAGACACUGUCUCCCUGUUCCGGGCGCUGCGUCCAGAGAAUGUGAUGGCAGAGAGGUCUCAGCCUGUGACCCAAAACAGAGGCGACCCUGAGGCAGCGUUGGGUUCUGGCCUUUCUCAGGGUCUUUCCCGUCUCCUUUUCAUCUGGAGUACACACGGGAGACAGCCACAAAGCGAUCGGGUCUCAGUAGACAGGUGUCACCAUAUCCUAAUCCUGGUCUUAACAAGGAAUAUCGUUUAUUUUCAGUUAUAAAAGUAACAUGUAUUCGUUAAAGACACUCGGAAACACUGAAAACAUAAAGAAAACGAAGAUCACCUCUAAUUCCGUAUAAAACCAAUAUUAACAUUUGGACCUAGUUUCUAACAGUUUCUUUAAAGCGCAAUUGAGAUCAUGCAUGUCUGUACAUGGUAUUGUGCCCUCCUGGGAGCAGGGAACGUGGCUUAAGCCACUGCGUGGGUGCUGUGUAUAUUGCUUGUGCAGAGCAAGCUUUCUGUGAGCACUUUAAUGAAUAAGGAAAUGCUUCUUUUUUAAAAUCAUAUCAUAAAUUCUCUUCCAUGCUCUUGAGAACAUUAUAAACACUCAUAAAUUUCUGCGUGUUGAGAUCACCAUUAUAUUCCUUGCAUCGGGAGCAGUAUCUGUUGAGUGUUUAUUAAGCAUUUGAAAAUAUGCUCAGCCUUUCCAGUGUCAGGGAAUUUAAGGCAAUAGUGAAAAACCAAUGUCAUAGGUAAAUGUUAGAAGUUGGAUAAUAAGUUAUGUGUGUGUGUGGUGGAUGUGUCAUACGCUGCAGGUGGGAGUGUAAAAUUGUACCAACACUUUGGAGGAGUGAAGGUGAGCAUAGCUGAAGACCCAGCUGCUUCUCUCCUGGGUUAGAGCUAGAGCAGGGCUUGACAGGCGUCCUUUGUGAAGGGCCAGAGAGUAAAUACUUUCGUUUUUGUGGAUUGCAUGGUUUCUGUUUUUACCUACAGUCAUGCACCAAAUAACGACCUUUCAGUCAACAAUGGACCGCCUAUGCGAUGGUGGUCCCAUAAGAUUAGUACCCUUUGGCCUAGGCGUGUAGUGGGCUAAACCAUCUCGGUUUAUGUAAGUACACUCUAUGAUGUUUGCACAGCAAUGGAAUCGCCUAAGGAUGUGUUCUCAGAACAUGGCCCGUCAUUAAGUGACACAGGACUAUUUAACUCUGCUGUUGCAGAGUGAAAGCGGUCAGGGACAAUACGUAAAUGAAUGAGCAUGGCUAAGUUCCAAUAAAACUUUAUUUACAAAAACAGGAAGUGGAGCACAUUUGGCCCAAAGGCCAUAGUUUGCCAUCCCUUUGUCUAGAGAGAGAGACGCCCGCACUUGAGUUAGAAGACACGUAAGGAUGUUCAUUGCAGUGUUGCGUGUAAUGAGGAAAAAUUGGCCAGAAAGGAUCUUGGAAUACUAGUAGCAGACUGGAUCAACAAACCAUGGUCAUAUGGUGGAAAACUAGAUUGUGGAUAAAAUCAACUAGAUCUCGAUGUGUUGAAUACAACUAAUUCUCAAAAAAUGCAGUGUUUAGUCAAAAAACAAUUUGUAAAAUGGUAACUGUGGCACAGUGCCAUUUGUGUAUAUAAAUGUUAAAGUGUGAAAUGCUGCCAAAUACUGCAGAUCCACGUGUAGUGCAAGUGGAGCUGAUGGGCGGGAUGGCAGGUGCCAGCUGCAGACCAGGGGCUGCCUCUGGGGGUCAGGACCUGGGCCUUUGGACCCCAGAAACCUGGAUGUGAAUCCUGGCUCCACUGCAUGCUGGUAAAACAGGGAUAAUUAUUUGUAUCUUGAAGGAUUUUUGUAAAGAUUAAAUGAGAUUAUGUAUGUAAAACACAUAAAGAAUAUGAAACUCACUCACCCUUAGCUCAGAAAGGGGGUAUUUUUAUACUGCAUGGCAUACUUAAUUGGUAUUUUUCCUGCACUCUCUCUUUUUUCUUCUUCUUCUCCCCAAAGCCCCCGAGUGUGUAGCUGUAUAUUCUAGUUGUAGGAUCCUGCAUUCUUUCCCUGUGCUUUCUCUGUUGCAUAUAUUUCUCCGAAAAGCAUCACUGUGAAGGGUGAGGCAGAAGACGUGGUCAUGGAGAGAGUAUCCACAUGUACCUGGCAUUGUGGGAGCUUAAUUCAUUUCACCAAGUAUAUCUCACCUCAUCUUCAUAAUAUGUCUGUGAGGCAUGGAGUUACUGCCAUUUUGCAGCUCAGAUUGUCUCCUGCAGGCCUGACGUCAUGUGUUUUGGUGGAGCAGUAGAUGUACGUGGAACUGAUUUCGGAAGACAGCCGCCAAGCUCCCAGUUCCCCUGUUAGCCUGUUACGCAAACUUUGCAGUCAGCAUUUUCUGUUCCAAAUCGAAUCACUAAUCACUAUCAUCUAUAUAAUGUGAUUGUCAUUAAAAUCCCUUCUCGGGUAUGAUUUUCUCACAUUUCCGAGUUUCUCUCUGAUUCGGAGUUAUUCCAAGUGAUAUUUAUGAGAACUAUCACUGUAAGUAACAGUUUUUGAAAAUUAAGAUGUGAGGGAAAUUAGCCAUCUUUAAACAAUUAAUUGUGAAUCAAUGGGAUUCAUUUUAGUUUUCAACUUAUGAACAGUAGUCUUUUAUUAUUGAAAAUGUCUCCCUUCACUCUAUAGGAAUCAAUUGGAUAUUUUCGUAAAUAUUUAAACUCAUACUUUUUAAAAAUGAAAAAUAGCAUAAUUUUUAAGACAGAUGCCAAAGCUUUGCCUUGACACCAGCUGCUUGUGACGCUUGUUAAUCUAAAAAUUAAAGAAGCAGUUGAGUUUAAUUUUGAUCAAUUACCAGGUAGUAGGCACCUUGAGUAACGUCACAUGCCGUCAUGUGCUCUAAGGUGGGGUUGUUCUAAGUUCUUGGAAUGUAAGUUAUUGGGCAAGACGGCCACGUGCCGGGGUUUGGAAGGAGUUACUCUCCCUCGCGCGUGACUCUGUGUGUGGGAUGUUUAGGCUGGUCGGAAAGCCCACUUGUUUUGGUAGUUUUGGGGGUAAGGACUGAUUCUGGUGACAUACCCUUCUCUUCCCUUAUAGUCAGGACGAAUGGUCUGUGACAACAUACAGUCUAAUGAAUGAGACAAGCCUAGUGCUUUGAUUGUGGUACCAUAAAAAUGAUUGAUGACAGCAGUUCAUUCUUU